RNAcentral lists this microRNA precursor (106 nucleotides) under Microtus ochrogaster (prairie vole). RNAcentral's name for it is "miRNA (ENSMOCG00000007415.1)". The record is from RNAcentral. Lineage: Eukaryota; Metazoa; Chordata; Mammalia; Rodentia; Cricetidae.
GCUGUGGCCUUAUUGGAAGAAGUGUGUCACUGGGGAUGGACUUUGAGGUUUCAGAAGCUCAGACAGGCCCAGUAGCUCAUUCUCUCUUCCUGUUGCCUGCUGAUCC